CAACAGAUCAAUUUCUUUACGAAUCUAUAAGCACUAGUGGCCAAUCCUCCUGGAUAAUCUUCAUGUUUAGUAAAUAGAUGGAUAUCUUUCUCUUAGACAUCGAUACAAUCCUCCAGAAUGCCAGUUGUCUUGCCUGCUUGUCACAGAGUACUCAAGGAGGUUUGUAGAAGGUUGCCGGGUUUUUCACCC
This is a long non-coding RNA of Rosa chinensis, 189 nucleotides long. RefSeq lists it as uncharacterized. The transcript is spliced from 3 exons. NCBI's taxonomy places the organism in Eukaryota, Viridiplantae, Streptophyta, Magnoliopsida, Rosales, Rosaceae. The record is from RefSeq and is a predicted model, not a curated record.